UACACUCCUACGGGAGGCAGCAGUGGGGAAUAUUGCACAAUGGGCGCAAGCCUGAUGCAGCCAUGCCGCGUGUAUGAAGAAGGCCUUCGGGUUGUAAAGUACUUUCAGCGGGGAGGAAGGCAAUACGGUUAAUAACCGUGUUGAUUGACGUUACCCGCAGAAGAAGCACCGGCUAACUCCGUGCCAGCAGCCGCGGUAAUACGGAGGGUGCAAGCGUUAAUCGGAAUUACUGGGCGUAAAGCGCACGCAGGCGGUCUGUCAAGUCGGAUGUGAAAUCCCCGGGUUCAACCUGGGAACUGCAUUCGAAACUGGCAGGCUUGAGUCUUGUAGAGGGGGGUAGAAUUCCAGGUGUAGCGGUGAAAUGCGUAGAGAUCUGGAGGAAUACCGGUGGCGAAGGCGGCCCCCUGGACAAAGACUGACGCUCAGGUGCGAAAGCGUGGGGAGCAAACAGGAUUAGAAACCCGAGUAGUCCCAUG
This 476-nucleotide ribosomal RNA is filed under the name uncultured organism. RNAcentral's name for it is "partial 16S ribosomal RNA". It matches the Rfam family "Bacterial small subunit ribosomal RNA", at positions 332 to 799 of the family's 1533-position model. The record is from RNAcentral.